CCCGCGGUAGCUCAGCCUGGUAGAGCUUCCGGCUGUAGACCGGAUUGUCCCAGGUUCAAAUCCUGGCCGCGGGA
RNAcentral lists this transfer RNA (74 nucleotides) under Candidatus Bathyarchaeota archaeon. RNAcentral describes it as "tRNA-Tyr". It matches the Rfam family "tRNA". Rfam says of the family: Transfer RNA (tRNA) molecules are approximately 80 nucleotides in length. Their secondary structure includes four short double-helical elements and three loops (D, anti-codon, and T loops). Further hydrogen bonds mediate the characteristic L-shaped molecular structure. tRNAs have two regions of fundamental functional importance: the anti-codon, which is responsible for specific mRNA codon recognition, and the 3' end, to which the tRNAs corresponding amino acid is attached (by aminoacyl-tRNA synthetases). tRNAs cope with the degeneracy of the genetic code in two manners: having more than one tRNA (with a specific anti-codon) for a particular amino acid; and 'wobble' base-pairing, i.e. permitting non-standard base-pairing at the 3rd anti-codon position. Lineage: Archaea; Thermoproteati; Candidatus Bathyarchaeota. The record is from RNAcentral.